GGGGGCGUUCUGGCUUCGACGUGGAUCGGACGUACCCUGGGGCAUGCCGAGGAGGCAGCAAUCCUCGUAAAACCUGGCUGCAAAUUGUUAGUUGCCAACGACGACAACUACGCACUAGCCGCCUAAAAACCGGCUUGCUCUCCCCCGUUUGAGCCUGCGCUUUCGACGGGAGAUCACUUAGCAGGAUCGCAUCAGGUCGAGUUUCGGGGCCUGGUGUUAAAUCAAACCGCAACUGGCCGGCAUGCAUGCCCUGCCCCUCGGGCGGCAUGACGGCGAGAAAAAAUCGAGCGGGCUAAGCAUGUAGAACCAGGAUCAGAUGGUUUGCGGACGCGGGUUCGACUCCCGCCGCCUCCACCA
RNAcentral lists this transfer-messenger RNA (357 nucleotides) under Wenzhouxiangellaceae. RNAcentral describes it as "GCA-2722315 sp002722315 Standard tmRNA". It matches the Rfam family "transfer-messenger RNA". Rfam says of the family: Bacterial tmRNA, also known as 10Sa RNA or SsrA, is named for its dual tRNA and mRNA-like properties. RNAcentral also lists the same sequence under 2 other names. The record is from RNAcentral. Lineage: Bacteria; Pseudomonadati; Pseudomonadota; Gammaproteobacteria; Chromatiales.